Molecule: long non-coding RNA, 388 nt
Filed under: Linum usitatissimum (flax)
Lineage: Eukaryota; Viridiplantae; Streptophyta; Magnoliopsida; Malpighiales; Linaceae
Description: long non-coding RNA (LUSI_LNC001441)
Source: RNAcentral
GAUGGGACUUUUGGCUAACGUCGACAAUGAGGCCACUGAUGCAGGCACUAAAGUAGACAGUGCCAUUCCUCCUGCGCUGCAACCAUGAAGCAUAAAUUGAUACUUAGAACCACGAUAAUGAAGACAAUGUUUCUGGUCUUCAUAGAGAAUAGUAUAUUGAGAAGCCAAAGUUGCUUGUCUUGCACAAAAACUGACAGUAGUAUAUUACAUAUAGUUGAGUUUCAGUUACAUUGCAUAUCAUUAGUAUUCAAGAUAUUCCAUAGAAAAAAGGAAUGGAGAUGUUCCACAAGUACACGCAUAUCAGAUUGAAACAUGUCCAAGCGAAGGCAUAUAAAUCAACUUGGAAAAGAUAAGCCUAAUUAGAGAGUGGAAUAUUAGAUAUCCAGAC